AUUAAGCGUAGCCAUGAGUUACCGUGUCCAACUUUGAUCGUUCGUUUUAUUUGGUUAGUAGAUUAUAAAACAUGAAUAUAAUACUUUAUGCGUGACUUAUACUUUUCAGUUUUUUUAAAAAAAAAUAUUAAAUAAGACGAACGAUUAAAGUUGGACACGAAAACUCAUGGCUACACUUAUU
Molecule: microRNA precursor, 181 nt
Organism: Oryza rufipogon (brownbeard rice)
Lineage: Eukaryota; Viridiplantae; Streptophyta; Magnoliopsida; Poales; Poaceae
Rfam family: MIR812 microRNA precursor family
Source: Rfam